GAUGAACGCUGGCGGCGUGCCUAAUACAUGCAAGUCGAGCGAACAGACGAGGAGCUUGCUCCUCUGACGUUAGCGGCGGACGGGUGAGUAACACGUGGAUAACCUACCUAUAAGACUGGGAUAACUUCGGGAAACCGGAGCUAAUACCGGAUAAUAUAUUGAACCGCAUGGUUCAAUAGUGAAAGACGGUUUUGCUGUCACUUAUAGAUGGAUCCGCGCCGCAUUAGCUAGUUGGUAAGGUAACGGCUUACCAUGGCAACGAUGCGUAGCCGACCUGAGAGGGUGAUCGGCCACACUGGAACUGAGACACGGUCCAGACUCCUACGGGAGGCAGCAGUAGGGAAUCUUCCGCAAUGGGCGAAAGCCUGACGGAGCAACGCCGCGUGAGUGAUGAAGGUCUUCGGAUCGUAAAACUCUGUUAUUAGGGAAGAAAAAAUGUGUAAGUAACUAUGCACGUCUUGACGGUACCUAAUCAGAAAGCCACGGCUAACUACGUG
This 497-nucleotide ribosomal RNA is filed under the name uncultured bacterium. Its description in RNAcentral is "partial 16S ribosomal RNA". It matches the Rfam family "Bacterial small subunit ribosomal RNA", at positions 28 to 507 of the family's 1533-position model. The record is from RNAcentral.